CAAUAGCGUAUAUUAAAGUUGUUGCGGUAAAAAAGCUCGUAGUUGGAUUUCUGUUGAGAGCGACCGGUCCAUACCAUGUAUGCGUAUCUGGCUUGCUCUCGGCAUCCUCUCGAUCGACGUUACUGCGCUUGAUUGCGUGGUGCGGAUCUCGGGACUUUUACUUUGAGGAAAUUAGAGUGUUCACGGCAGGCUUUCGCCAGAAUACAUUAGCAUGGAAUAAUACUAUAGGAUCUUGGUUCUAUUUUGUUGGUUUCUAGAAUUGAGAUAAUGAUUAAUAGGGACAAUUGGGGGCAUUCGUAUCAACACGUCAGAGGUGGAAUUCUUGGAUUGUGUUGCGACGAACUACUGCGAAAGCAUUUGCCAAGGAUGUUUUCAUUGA
Molecule: ribosomal RNA, 379 nt
Filed under: uncultured eukaryote
Lineage: Eukaryota
Description: partial 18S ribosomal RNA
Rfam family: Eukaryotic small subunit ribosomal RNA
Source: RNAcentral